UGAGGAAUAUUGGUCAAUGGGCGCAAGCCUGAACCAGCCAUCCCGCGUGCAGGAAGAAGGCGCUAUGCGUCGUAAACUGCUUUUUCAGGGGAAGAAAAUCCCGUACGUGUACGGGACUGACGGUACCCUGUGAAUAAGCAUCGGCUAACUCCGUGCCAGCAGCCGCGGUAAUACGGAGGAUGCGAGCGUUAUCCGGAUUCAUUGGGUUUAAAGGGUGCGUAGGCGGAACGAUAAGUCAGUGGUGAAAUUCUGCAGCUUAACUGUAGACGUGCCAUUGAUACUGUCAGUCUUGAGUAUGGUCAAGGUAGGCGGAAUGUGUAAUGUAGCGGUGAAAUGCUUAGAUAUUACACAGAACACCGAUUGCGAAGGCAGCUUGCUGGGCCAUUACUGACGCUGAUGCACGAAAGCGUGGGGAUCAAACAGG
Molecule: ribosomal RNA, 424 nt
Filed under: uncultured Bacteroidales bacterium
Lineage: Bacteria; Pseudomonadati; Bacteroidota; Bacteroidia; Bacteroidales
Description: bacterial SSU rRNA
Rfam family: Bacterial small subunit ribosomal RNA
Source: RNAcentral